This 537-nucleotide ribosomal RNA is filed under the name Citrobacter sp. Cf077. Its description in RNAcentral is "partial 23S ribosomal RNA". It matches the Rfam family "Bacterial large subunit ribosomal RNA", at positions 1 to 577 of the family's 2925-position model. The record is from RNAcentral. Lineage: Bacteria; Pseudomonadati; Pseudomonadota; Gammaproteobacteria; Enterobacterales; Enterobacteriaceae.
GGUUAAGCGACUAAGCGUACACGGUGGAUGCCCUGGCAGUCAGAGGCGAUGAAGGACGUGCUAAUCUGCGAUAAGCGUCGGUAAGGUGAUAUGAACCGUUAUAACCGGCGAUUUCCGAAUGGGGAAACCCAGUGUGUUUCGACACACUAUCAUUACGUGAAUACAUAGCGUAAUGAAGCGAACCGGGGGAACUGAAACAUCUAAGUACCCCGAGGAAAAGAAAUCAACCGAGAUUCCCCCAGUAGCGGCGAGCGAACGGGGAGCAGCCCAGAGUCUGAAUCAGCUUGUGUGUUAGUGGAACGGUCUGGAAAGUCCGACGGUACAGGGUGAUAGUCCCGUACACCAAAAUGCACAGGUUGUGAACUCGAAGAGUAGGGCGGGACACGUGGUAUCCUGUCUGAAUAUGGGGGGACCAUCCUCCAAGGCUAAAUACUCCUGACUGACCGAUAGUGAACCAGUACCGUGAGGGAAAGGCGAAAAGAACCCCGGCGAGGGGAGUGAAAAAGAACCUGAAACCGUGUACGUACAAGCAGUGGG